This 444-nucleotide ribosomal RNA is filed under the name uncultured bacterium. RNAcentral describes it as "bacterial SSU rRNA". It matches the Rfam family "Bacterial small subunit ribosomal RNA", at positions 331 to 792 of the family's 1533-position model. The record is from RNAcentral.
CCAGACUCCUACGGGAGGCAGCAGUGGGGAAUAUUGCACAAUGGGGGAAACCCUGAUGCAGCGACGCCGCGUGAGCGAUGAAGUAUUUCGGUAUGUAAAGCUCUCUCAGCAGGGAAGAAAAUGACGGUACCUGACUAAGAAGCCCCGGCUAACUACGUGCCAGCAGCCGCGGUAAUACGUAGGGGGCAAGCGUUAUCCGGAUUUACUGGGUGUAAAGGGGGCGCAGACGGCAGCGCAAGCCAGGAGUGAAAGCCCGGGGCCCAACCCCGUGACUGCUCUUGGAACUGCGCGGCUGGAGUGCAGGAGGGGCAGGCGGAAUUCCUGGUGUAGCGGUGAAAUGCGUAGAUAUCAGGAGGAACACCAGUGGCGAAGGCGGCCUACUGGACGGUGACUGACGCUGAGGCUCGAAAGCGUGGGGAGCAAACAGGAUUAGAUACCCUCGUA